GGGUGACACCAAAAAAUCAGUGUUGCACGUGGAAACUGAAAAAAAAGAACGUUAUGUAAUAAGAUGUGGUACAGAAAGGUAAGACCAAAGAACCCCUUUCUUAUUAUGAUAAUUAAAUUUCUGACUCUGGUCCCAGAAUAAUAAAAUAUCAAAUAUCAAAAGCUUAUGUACCAUGAUUUUGCUUCCUCUAUAAGUGGCACAUCUUUAUUGUCCAUUAUAUUUUGUCCAAAGAACUAAAGGAUCUGCAGCCUCUAGCUUCACAUACUUUGCAUUAUCAGGAUCAGAAAAUAAAAUAAUUCCUUAAGUCACAAGCUUCCCUGGGCAGUUUUACUACUACCCUUCUGCACAACACAUUAAAGGCAUAUCAUACAAUUGUUCAGCAGCAAAAGCAAAGUUUACAUAUUACAUCUUUUUUUUUCUUUCUUUCUUUUUUGACAGAGUCUUGCUCUGUUGCCGCCCAGGCUGGAGUACAGUGGCUUACGCCUGUAAUCCCAGCACUUUGGGAGGCCAAGGCAGGUGGAUCAUUUGAGGUCAGGAGUUUGAGACCUGCCUGGCCAAUAUAGUGAAACCCCGUCUCUACGAAAAAUACAAAAAUUAGCAGCGCGUGGUGGAUACAUGCCUGUAAUCCCAGCUACUCGGGAGGCUGGGGCAGGAGAACUGCUUGAACCCUGGAGGCGGAGGUUGCAGUGAGCUGAGAUUGUGCCACUGCACUCCAGCCAGGGCGACAGAGUGACGCUCCAUCUCAAAAUAAAGAAAUAAAGGAAUGAAAUGAAAUGAAAAGGAAAGAAAGAAAGAAAGAAAAAGGAAGGAAGGAAGGAAAGACAGACAUCUAAGAUAUAUCAGUGGGUACAAGAGGGUGGGUGGGGUACAGAGGGAGUGGGAAAAUCACUAUAAAGGGUAAAAGUAGCAAAAUACAAUGAGAAGGGCCUU
This 930-nucleotide non-coding RNA is filed under the name Pongo abelii (Sumatran orangutan). The record is from RNAcentral. Lineage: Eukaryota; Metazoa; Chordata; Mammalia; Primates; Hominidae.